CAAUAGCGUAUAUUAAAGCUGUUGCGGUUAAAAAGCUCGUAGUUGGAUUUCUGUCAAGGACAACUGGUCCGCCCCUCGGGUGAGCACAUAGUUUGGUCUUGGCAUCUUGUUGGAAACUGUUGCUGCACUUGGUUGUGUGGCGCAGUGUCCAGCACUUUCACUUUGAGGAAAUUGGAGUGUUUCAAGCAGGCACAUGCCUUUGGACACAGUAGCUUGGAAUAAUUAGAUUGGGCUUUUGCUCCAACUUGUCGGUUUCUGGAGCUGAGGUGAGAAUUAAUGGGGAUUGUUGGGGGCAUCCGAAUUUAGCCGUCAGAGGUGAAAUUCUUGGAUCUGCUAAAGACGGACAACUGCGAAAGCGUUUGCCCAGGAUGUUUUCAUUGA
This 381-nucleotide ribosomal RNA is filed under the name uncultured eukaryote. RNAcentral describes it as "partial 18S ribosomal RNA". It matches the Rfam family "Eukaryotic small subunit ribosomal RNA", at positions 592 to 976 of the family's 1831-position model. The record is from RNAcentral.